RNAcentral lists this ribosomal RNA (497 nucleotides) under uncultured bacterium. RNAcentral describes it as "bacterial SSU rRNA". It matches the Rfam family "Bacterial small subunit ribosomal RNA", at positions 36 to 524 of the family's 1533-position model. The record is from RNAcentral.
CUGGCGGCAGGCUUACCGUGCAAGUCGAACGGUAGCAGGAGAAAGCUUGCUUUCUUGCUGACGAGUGGCGGACGGGUGAGUAAUGCUUGGGAAUCUGGCUUAUGGAGGGGGACAACUACUGGAAACGGUAGCUAAUACCGCGUAAUAUCGGAAGAUUAAAGGGUGGGACCUUUGGGCCACCUGCCAUAAGAUGAGCCCAAGUGGGAUUAGGUAGUUGGUGGGGUAAAGGCCUACCAAGCCGACGAUCUCUAGCUGGUCUGAGAGGAUGGCCAGCCACACUGGAACUGAGACACGGUCCAGACUCCUACGGGAGGCAACACUGGGGAAUAUUGCACAAUGGGGGGAACCCUGAUGCAGCCAUGCCGCGUGAAUGAAGAAGGCCUUCGGGUUGUAAAGUUCUUUCGGUGAUGAGGAAGGUGUUUUGUUUAAUAGACAAAGCAAUUGACGUUAGUCACAGAAGAAGCACCGGCUAACUCCGUGCCAGCAGCCGCGGAUAU